Ornithorhynchus anatinus (platypus) is the source of this 440-nucleotide long non-coding RNA. RefSeq lists it as uncharacterized. The transcript has 3 exons. The record is from RefSeq and is a predicted model, not a curated record. NCBI's taxonomy places the organism in Eukaryota, Metazoa, Chordata, Mammalia, Monotremata, Ornithorhynchidae.
CAUGAGCCCUGACUCCAAAGCCCACGUUCUUUCCACUGAGCCACGCUGCUUCUCCUGAUCAAGCACACUGACACAUUUCCUCUGCAGAAGCUGUUCCAGCUCCAACCUCAGUGAACCUUCAAACCCAUGGGUUCAAAUGCUUCCCCAUUUGGCUGCUGCCUCACUUGUGCUCAUGGAAAAGACAGUGUGGGAUCACCCUCCCUAGAGGCCAUAAAGAACGGCACUAAUCUGGAGAUACUCUGUCCGAAACCUACUCCUGGAAAGCACCACUGAAUGGUCAUGGUUUAUGGGAAAUUACCCUGUCUGUUGGGUUGAGGUAAUUCAAUAACGUGGAUUUACUCACUGUUGAACACUGGAAGUCCUGUUGAAAAAACCCUUUCUUUCUGGUAUUAGAAUAGUUUCAUACUCAUACUCAUAGUUUCAGGCAAAACCCACAUGAA